Molecule: ribosomal RNA, 193 nt
Filed under: uncultured bacterium
Lineage: Bacteria
Description: partial 16S ribosomal RNA
Rfam family: Bacterial small subunit ribosomal RNA
Source: RNAcentral
CCUACGGGAGGCAGCAGUGGGGAAUUUUGGACAAUGGGCGCAAGCCUGAUCCAGCAAUGCCGCGUGAGUGAAGAAGGCCUUCGGGUUGUAAAGCUCUUUUGUCAGGGAAGAAACGGUGGUGGUUAAUACCUGCUGCUAAUGACGGUACCUGAAGAAUAAGCACCGGCUAACUACGUGCCAGCAGCCGCGGUAA